RNAcentral lists this ribosomal RNA (497 nucleotides) under uncultured bacterium. RNAcentral's name for it is "partial 16S ribosomal RNA". It matches the Rfam family "Bacterial small subunit ribosomal RNA", at positions 28 to 507 of the family's 1533-position model. The record is from RNAcentral.
GAUGAACGCUGGCGGCGUGCCUAAUACAUGCAAGUCGAGCGAACAGACGAUGAGCUUGCGCCGCGGACGUGAGCGGCGGACGGGUGAGUAACACGUGUAUAACCUACCUAUAAUACGGGUAUAACUUCGGGAAACGGGAGCUAAUAGCGUAGAAGAUAUUGAACCGCAGGGUGGAAUGGUGAAAGACGGUGUUUCUGGCACGUAUAGAUGGAUCCGCGCCGUAUUAGCUGGUUGGUAAGGUAACGGCUUACCAAGGGGACGAUGCGUAGACGAGGUGAGAGAGGGAUCGCCCACACUGGAAGUGAGCCACGGUCAAGGGUACUAAGGGAGGCCGCAGUAGGGAAUGUUACGCAAUGGGCGAAAGCAUGACGGAGCAACGCCGAGUGAGUGAUGACGGUCCUCGGAUCGUAAAACUCUGUUAUUAGGGAAGAACAAAUGUGUACGUAAAUAUGCACGUAUUGACGGUAACUAAUCAGAAAGCAACGGCUAACUACGUG